Molecule: ribosomal RNA, 374 nt
Filed under: uncultured bacterium
Lineage: Bacteria
Description: bacterial SSU rRNA
Rfam family: Bacterial small subunit ribosomal RNA
Source: RNAcentral
UAAUACGAAGGGUGCUAGCGUUGUUCGGAAUCACUGGGCGUAAAGCGCGCGUAGGCGGCCAAUCAAGUCAGGGGUGAAAUGCCGGAGCUUAACUUCGGAACUGCCUUUGAAACUGAUUGGCUGGAAGAUGAGAGGGGAUAGCGGAAUUUCUGGUGUAGAGGUGAAAUUCGUAGAUACCAGAAGGAACACCGGUGGCGAAGGCGGCUAUCUGGCUCAUUCUUGACGCUCUGGCGCGAAAGCGUGGGGAUCAAACAGGAUUAGAUACCCUGGUAGUCCACGCUGUAAACGAUGAGUGCUAGCCGUUGGGGCUUUAUGUCUCAGUGGCGCCGCUAACGCAGUAAGCACUCCGCCUGGGGAGUACGGUCGCAAGAUUA